GUAGGGAAUUUUCGGCAAUGGGGGAAACCCUGACCGAGCGACGCCGCGUGAGGGAUGAAGGCCUUCGGGUUGUAAACCUCUGUCUUCGGGGACGAUGAUGACGGUACCCGAGGAGGAAGCCACGGCUAACUACGUGCCAGCAGCCGCGGUAAGACGUAGGUGGCAAGCGUUGUCCGGAAUUAUUGGGCGUAAAGGGCGUGUAGGCGGCCUGUUAAGUCAGACGUGAAAUCCCCGGGCUCAACCUAGGGACUGCGUUUGAUACUGAUGGGCUUGAGGACAGGAGAGGAAAGUGGAACUCCGUGUGUAGCGGUGAAAUGCUCAGAUAUACGGAAGAACACCAGUGGCGAAGGCGACUUUCUGGACUGUCCCUGACGCUGAGGCGCGAAAGCCAGGGGAGCGAACGGGAUUAGAAACCCCUGUAGUCC
This 425-nucleotide ribosomal RNA is filed under the name uncultured bacterium. Its description in RNAcentral is "bacterial SSU rRNA". It matches the Rfam family "Bacterial small subunit ribosomal RNA", at positions 354 to 796 of the family's 1533-position model. The record is from RNAcentral.